Molecule: ribosomal RNA, 450 nt
Filed under: uncultured bacterium
Lineage: Bacteria
Description: bacterial SSU rRNA
Rfam family: Bacterial small subunit ribosomal RNA
Source: RNAcentral
GUGGGGAAUAUUGGACAAUGGGCGAAAGCCUGAUCCAGCCAUGCCGCGUGUGUGAAGAAGGUCUUCGGAUUGUAAAGCACUUUAAGUUGGGAGGAAGGGCAGUAAGUUAAUACCUUGCUGUUUUGACGUUACCGACAGAAUAAGCACCGGCUAACUUCGUGCCAGCAGCCGCGGUAAUACGAAGGGUGCAAGCGUUAAUCGGAAUUACUGGGCGUAAAGCGCGCGUAGGUGGUUCAGCAAGUUGGAGGUGAAAUCCCCGGGCUCAACCUGGGAACUGCCGCCAAAACUACUGAGCUAGAGUACGGUAGAGGGUAGUGGAAUUUCCUGUGUAGCGGUGAAAUGCGUAGAUAUAGGAAGGAACACCAGUGGCGAAGGCGACUACCUGGACUGAUACUGACACUGAGGUGCGAAAGCGUGGGGAGCAAACAGGAUUAGAAACCCCUGUAGUCC